This 252-nucleotide ribosomal RNA is filed under the name uncultured bacterium. RNAcentral's name for it is "partial 16S ribosomal RNA". It matches the Rfam family "Bacterial small subunit ribosomal RNA", at positions 524 to 776 of the family's 1533-position model. The record is from RNAcentral.
UACAGAGGUCCCAAGCGUUGUUCGGAUUCACUGGGCGUAAAGGGUGCGUAGGUGGCGGGGCCAGUCUGACGUGAAAUCUCCGGGCUUAACCCGGAAAUGGCGUUGGAAACUACCUUGCUUGAGGGUUGGAGGGGGGACUGGAAUACUUGGGUAGCAGUGAAAUGCGUAGAUAUCAAGUGGAACACCAGUGGCGAAGGCGAGUCCCUGGACAACUCCUGACACUGAGGCACGAAAGCUAGGGGAGCAAACGGG